Long non-coding RNA from Sorex araneus (European shrew), 1460 nucleotides. RefSeq lists it as uncharacterized. The transcript is spliced from 4 exons. The record is from RefSeq and is a predicted model, not a curated record. NCBI's taxonomy places the organism in Eukaryota, Metazoa, Chordata, Mammalia, Eulipotyphla, Soricidae.
UGGGCACCCCCUAAAAGCAGGGACCCCGAGGUGGAGAUGCUCCCCGCGACAGCGUGCCGGCAUAGCAACGACACCCAGCUAACAGGGGGCUGACAAUAAGGACUGACCCAUUCGAGAGACCCCUGCGUCCCACAGACUCCUGCACAGUGGAUCAAACCCAGUGCCUUACAUGUAUGAGCUUGGCUCUACCGCUGAGCCAUGCCUCCAACACAUUGAUGUAUUUUCAAAUCUAAGAGAGUGUUUUCCAUUGUGAAUUAAGGAUAAUUCAAGGCCCUUUACAGAACUCAUUACAGCGCAGGAUCCGCGGUUUUCCUGAGCGCAAAAUGGAGCCGGCGAUCCAGCUGAAACAGGACGCUUUCGCACGCUUGCGGGAGACCCCAGGGGGCGGGGGCGGCGACCCCCGCCCACCGCAGAUAGAUAUUUAAACCCACCUCCCCCACGUGUGCUUCCCUUUGGAUCCGGCUGCGGAGCGAGCAUGAUGGAAGAGCCCAAGGGAGCGCCCUUGGACUCCAGGCAGCCCACUGAACUAAUUCCGGCAUGGGACCAGAGACCCCACGGUGCGCUGAAACAGUGGGAACCGGGCAUCCCCCAAUUCUUUUAACCUGUCUCUCUCUCUCAACUCCUCCCUCCUGAACACAGCGCAGGACUUCUCCAUCUUAUGAGCACCAUAAAAGGGUAAAAGUUUGUAGUGAUGUUAUUUCUGGUUGUACUUUCCCUGGACUUUAUACAGAAACCCAAAACUGCGCGGCCGAGGUAGCGGCCGCGCAACCUAAUGUCAUCUUAGCAUCAGCAAUAUGUAAUGGUUCGCUUUUAAUGGGUCGGACUUUUGUGGGAGAUCCUAACAAGAAUAGUAAGUCUGUUGCUGAAAUAUUGAAGGCAAUCAAAGUGGUAGCCAUCUCUCUAGACUAAACUAAGCUAUAUCCCUACGCCAGCUGAGAAGAAAUUUUCUUCUUUCUCGGGAAGAAACGCGGCGUGUCGUCAACUACAAUGUGAUGUCCAUUAAGCAAACAGACCUGGUGGCGUGGGAAUGGGAUAUAAGGGGAAAAAUUAUGUACAUGGAACAGUGGGACGCUGGUGGAAUCUUGAGCCGGAGCCGAUACCAGCGCAAGACCUUCGGUUCCAGAAACUGCUUGCAGACACCCUACUAGUCUAUCAACUAAGCCAGAGCCCCACGUCUGCUGAUGACGGGAAAUAACCAUCCUUUUCGUUUUUUGUUUUCGUUUUUUUUUCCCUUGUCAGGCAGCGUGGCGAUUACUAAACAGGCGUGAACUCGGUGGCGCGGGGCAAGGGGGAAAAAGAAAAGUUAUGUAACAAACAGCGGGACUUAAUAUCUCUAUAUUCUUAGUAGUGGAGAACUAUCAAAUGCCUCCUUGGCAAUAGGACUGCUUUUCUUUUUGGGGGGAAACCCCAACAAUGGUAGUGAGUUGUGUGUUGAAACAUGGAAUGUAAUCGAGAUAAGG